AGACACACACACACACACAUAUGUGUUAUAUGUUAUAUAUAGAUAUAUGUGUGUGUGUGUGUGUGUGUGUGUGU
Molecule: non-coding RNA, 74 nt
Organism: Podarcis lilfordi (Lilford's wall lizard)
Lineage: Eukaryota; Metazoa; Chordata; Lepidosauria; Squamata; Lacertidae
Source: the annotation of a GenBank genome assembly